This 72-nucleotide transfer RNA is filed under the name Ictidomys tridecemlineatus (thirteen-lined ground squirrel). Its description in RNAcentral is "Spermophilus tridecemlineatus (thirteen-lined ground squirrel) tRNA". It matches the Rfam family "tRNA". From Rfam's summary of the family: Transfer RNA (tRNA) molecules are approximately 80 nucleotides in length. Their secondary structure includes four short double-helical elements and three loops (D, anti-codon, and T loops). The record is from Rfam by way of RNAcentral. Lineage: Eukaryota; Metazoa; Chordata; Mammalia; Rodentia; Sciuridae.
AGGGUUGUAGCUCAGUGGUGGAGUGCUUGCCUCGUAAGCAUGGGAUACUGUGUUCAAUGCUCAGCACCACAU